This is a long non-coding RNA of Lepidothrix coronata (blue-crowned manakin), 2985 nucleotides long. RefSeq lists it as uncharacterized. Lineage: Eukaryota; Metazoa; Chordata; Aves; Passeriformes; Pipridae. The record is from RefSeq and is a predicted model, not a curated record. The transcript is spliced from 3 exons.
UGAAGAAGAAACUGUAAGUAUUUAUCUGGUAAGGAAAAAAUGCAAAUCCUAUGAUGAUGAGAUUAGUAUGGCUAGAUGUGGAUAGAGUUUAUACUAUCAUGCUCUGUGCAAGUUGAAGGGGAUUUUGAGGCAAUGAGAAGAUACUAGCAGGUUUUUAUUUGUGAUAAUGGAUCUGAUAAGUAAAAAACUAACCAAACAAAAAACAAAGAACCCAAACAUACAUGGCAGAGUUUCUCUGAUAUUAACAGUACUGUGCUUGCUUACAGCUAGAGAUUGUCCUGCACUUUUGGUUACAGUGCUCAUAUCAUCUGGAGAAAACAAACUAUGUACACGUUUGUGCACAGGUUUUACAACACCAUUUACAACUGAUGUGACUAAUAUUGCUAAAACAGUAUUUAUGGGACUCUUAUGUUGUGCUAGGGAAAGAGGCUGUUAUAAAGGUGUUCAGGACCUCUGAUGGAGUAGUUUUCAACAAUGACACUCUGUCAAAGUAUUGCCAAUUCACAGGACAUAGGGCAAGUACUUCACAUUGUUCUUGCUUCUUGCAGACAGUUUUCCUGCCCAUGUCCGCAAAGUAAUGUCAGUCAUCCUGGAGAUACUUGGAAAUACGAUCAAGGUCAGAUUUAAGAUGACCAAGAAGACAUUAGAAGGUGGUAUGUUCUCCAUCUGCGCAUCCGGGAAAGAAUUUUUGGAAGUUAUUUUUUUUAGACAUGUUAAUGACAUGUAUUAUAGAAUUUGUAAAACCAUGAGAUAGGCAUCAAACUUGCAUCCAAAUUUGAUGCUGUUGCACAAAAAAUAUAACCUGUAGUAUCUCCAUCUCAAAAAAUAUCCAAAAUGAACAUGAAAGAUCCUACAUAUAUCCUGUCAGACAACUCACACAGUAUAUGUAAUUCCAUAAUCACAUUUUUUCAUUUAACGAAUGAAUCAGCUGUGUAAAGAGUCCCCAUAUUGAUUUCAGUACAAGAAAUAGGUAAAAAAUACUGCAGCAUGUGGCAGGAAGAAAUAUGACCUUUAUGGGAGUAGCUUUUGGGCUCUUCCAUAAGUGAAGGCUAGGUUAAGAGCAGAGGCUAGAAUCAUACCAGCUGUGAGAUGUACUCUCAGGUUUAAUCAAUGUAUGAAUGCACUACAUUUCUAUGACCUACCUGUGUCGCAACUACCAGCUGAUCUAAAUUUGUAGAAACACACUUCUAUCUUAAAACCACAAUGAAUGUAUCUUGGAAAGGCAUCUUUUCUCUUUUGGUACUUGGAAGGUACUUAACCAUGAUUAAGAGCAGUUUCUUAGGUAAUGAUCCAGGCAUUACAGAAACCACAGUGUAGUUUCAAGCAUAGAACAUCUUGGUCACUCCUUCCACGAGGGAGCAGACUGGUAAGAGAGAGCAGGACAGACAUCUGUAGCAACAUUGUUUGGUGUGACCUCCUCUUGGUUAAAGGACAGUCACAUAGUCAGGCAUGCUGCAUAGUCAGCAGCGGGGAACACCACCACUUUCAUUUCAAGUGCUCUCUUGUAAAUAACAGGAGACUUGUAGGUGUCAAAAAUCCAUCAUUCUCUUUUUUAACCACAGAAAUCUUACACAAGAUGAAAUCAGGAAAUCUAGAGGCAAUAAAACUAAGUAGGGAAAAUGUUGAGCAAUACCUUUUGACAUCACUAUUGCUAGACAGACUAUGUGACUGCCUUCGUCUAAGUAUGUAAACUUUACUAAGCUGCGGUGUGUUGCCAAGGUUAAGGUUAGUCAUGCUGGAACCCCAGCAAAAGGGCUCUAGAAGGAGGUCCACCUCUGUGACGUUCGAUAUCCAAAAGAACUGAAAAGGCAGUUUCUCUAGCCAGGGAUGUCCGUGUUAGCAGGCUUGUCAUCAAGCUGAGUGGCUCUGGAAGCUGCCUCAGAAGAGCCAGAGCCUAGGUGGAGUAGGAGAACCCUGGUGAGCAGCACACACGCUGUAGCCUUAAUUCUGUCAAGGGAUGACUGGCAGAAGGGGGCCUAAAAACUCUGCCAGGAGUAAGAGGAUAGGGGGGAAAAGCGGUUUAGGGUGGUAGUUGCCAAAGUUUCUGACUGAUGGAUGCUUGUUAGCCUCAUUCUUUCUCUGUUACCACCACUGGGCUGUUUCGUCAAACCUUUAAAAGAGACACUGUUGAAAACAGUGUUUUCAUAGACUUUUGCAGGCCAGCCUUAGAGCAUUUACCCUGGCCUGGUGCGCCAUACGUUGGGAGUGCCUUCUUAAGGGGAAUUCUAGUCUCCUUAUUGUAAUAAAGUUCUCAAUUCAUUUCAGAAGACUGAAACUCUUUUGGGGAUUCUGCACUAUUGUCAUUUGACAUGGUGGCUGUCGGGGAUUGCGGAUGGUUUAGAGGCUUAUGGGGGGUAUUGGCCUAUCACAGAUUCCCUGGAAGCUGCUGUGUGCCAUGGGGGGCCUUGGAGUCUAUUCUGUCUUGCAGAAGGAGCAUGCUCUGCCACCCCCAAGGAACAAUAAUGUUCAGACAAAGAACAUUUUUUCCAGAUCUCUUUUGCAAACAUGGAGCUGAGUGUAGAACCCUUUCUAAGCCGAGAGGUAGCUGAAGAAUUUUGUGCAUCUGCUCUACUGUGAAGCCAGGAUGAAUACUGGGCAGAAGCUUCUUUGGAGGGUGAUGUUUUGUGACUGUCUAAGUGCCGGUGGUUCUUGUUACUCUAAAACCAGAAAAAGAGCUUCUGAACCCUAGACAGAAGGUUUUCCAUUCUUGUUAUUAAAAGCAUCCCCACUGAAUUAUGGACUAAAAGCUGAAACACCUAGAAAAGCAGAAUGGAGUGGUCUGAAGCCAUAGGAGGAUGCCUGAUUCCUGAGUAAAUAAGCCCUAAAAUGUGACAGUGGACUCUGGUGGCUUUGAGAAGGGGAGGAGGAAGAUAGGAGCUGGUUCACAGAGAGAAGCAGAAGAAAAGGGAAGACAGACUUCAUAUUUUCAGCUGCAGGGAAUCAUUUAUUGGGUUUACCUGCCCAUCAAAAUUAUGCCAUGUCUUU